UGGCCAGACUCCUACGGGAGGCAGCAGUGGGGAAUAUUGCACAAUGGGGGAAACCCUGAUGCAGCGACGCCGCGUGAGCGAUGAAGUAUUUCGGUAUGUAAAGCUCUAUCAGCAGGGAAGAAAAUGACGGUACCUGACUAAGAAGCCCCGGCUAACUACGUGCCAGCAGCCGCGGUAAUACGUAGGGGGCAAGCGUUAUCCGGAUUUACUGGGUGUAAAGGGAGCGUAGACGGCAUGGCAAGCCAGAUGUGAAAUGCCGGGGCUCAACCCCGGGACUGCAUUUGGAACUGUUAAGCUGGAGUGUCGGAGAGGCAGGCGGAAUUCCUAGUGUAGCGGUGAAAUGCGUAGAUAUUAGGAGGAACACCAGUGGCGAAGGCGGCCUGCUGGACGAUAACUGACGUUGAGGCUCGAAAGCGUGGGGAGCAAACAGGAUGAGAUACCCGCGUA
Molecule: ribosomal RNA, 447 nt
Filed under: uncultured bacterium
Lineage: Bacteria
Description: bacterial SSU rRNA
Rfam family: Bacterial small subunit ribosomal RNA
Source: RNAcentral